RNAcentral lists this ribosomal RNA (488 nucleotides) under uncultured bacterium. RNAcentral describes it as "partial 16S ribosomal RNA". It matches the Rfam family "Bacterial small subunit ribosomal RNA", at positions 28 to 523 of the family's 1533-position model. The record is from RNAcentral.
GUCGAACGCUGGCGGCGUGCUUAACACAUGCAAGUCGAGCGGAAAGGCCCCUUCGGGGGUACUCGAGCGGCGAACGGGUGAGUAACACGUGAGUAAUCUGCCCUUCACUUCGGGAUAGCCCUGGGAAACCGGGAUUAAUACCGGAUACGACCGGUGCCUGCAUGGGUGCUGGUGGAAAGUUUUUUCGGUGGAGGAUGUGCUCGCGGCCUAUCAGCUUGUUGGUGGGGUAAUGGCCUACCAAGGCUUCGACGGGUAGCCGGCCUGAGAGGGUGACCGGCCACACUGGGACUGAGACACGGCCCAGAUUCCUACGGGAGGCAGCAGUGGGGAAUAUUGGACAAUGGGCGGAAGCCUGAUCCAGCAACGCCGCGUGAGGGAUGAUGGCCUUCGGGUUGUAAACCUCUUUCAGCGGGGACGAAGCCGCCUUCGGGCGGUGACGGUACCCGCAGAAGAAGCACCGGCCAACUACGUGCCAGCCGCCGCUGUAA